AUGGAGAGACCGCCGGUAGGAG
RNAcentral lists this non-coding RNA (22 nucleotides) under Arabidopsis thaliana (thale cress). Lineage: Eukaryota; Viridiplantae; Streptophyta; Magnoliopsida; Brassicales; Brassicaceae. The record is from RNAcentral.